GGAGGAAAAGAAACCAACAGGGAUUGCCUCAGUAACGGCGAGUGAAGCGGCAAGAGCUCAACUUUGGAAUCGCUCCGGCGAGUUGUAGUCUGGAGGUGGCCACCACGAGGUGUUCUAGCAGCAGGCAAGUCCUUUGGAACAAGGCGCCAGCGAGGGUGACAGCCCCGUACCUGCUUUUGCUAGUGCUUCCUGUGGCCCACCGACGAGUCGAGUUGUUUGGGAAUGCAGCUCUAAGUGGGUGGUAAAUUCCAUCUAAGGCUAAAUAUUGGCGAGAGACCGAUAGCGAACAAGUACAGUGAUGGAAAGAUGAAAAGCACUUUGAAAAGAGAGUGAAACAGUACGUGAAAUUGUUGAAAGGGAAGGGCUUGCACCCAGACACGGUUUCGGCCGGGCCAGCAUCAAGUAGAACGGGGUUAAAAGACUUGGGGAAUGUAGCUACUUCGGUAGUGUUAUAGCCCUUGGUGAUGACCCCUGUUUUGCUUGAGGACAGCG
Molecule: ribosomal RNA, 492 nt
Filed under: Candidozyma auris
Lineage: Eukaryota; Fungi; Ascomycota; Pichiomycetes; Serinales; Metschnikowiaceae
Description: eukaryotic LSU rRNA
Rfam family: Eukaryotic large subunit ribosomal RNA
Source: RNAcentral